Molecule: long non-coding RNA, 1112 nt
Filed under: Papio anubis (olive baboon)
Lineage: Eukaryota; Metazoa; Chordata; Mammalia; Primates; Cercopithecidae
Description: lncRNA (ENSPANG00000042723.1)
Source: RNAcentral
CCCUAAUUAUGCACAGAACAGCGUAACUGUAUGAUUAUAGGACAGGAUUACUCAGUGAUACUAUUAUUUGGGCCUUGUAGAAUAGAAGAAGGGAGAAAAUUGGAUUUAAACAGAGCAGGAUAAUUUUGAUCUUAUAAAGUGUAGAGCAUCAAAGCAGUUUGCUAGCUUGAAUUUUAAAAAUUAUUUCAUUGAUGUUAAUUAUGAAGUGUAAGAAUUUUUAAAUGGUAAAAAUGACUGAUUUGGUCAUUAAACUUUCUGAUUUUGGUCUUUACCAAAAAUAAAAAAACUCCACACUUGUUCCUGAGCCUAGUGUUCUGUGGAAUAACAAUUGUAAAUUAAGGCUUUAAAUUUAGAGGCUAAAUAAGGAAAUUCUGUUUUCGUUUGUUUGUUUGUUUUUGAGACAAAGUCUCGCUCUGAAAUCCAGGCUGCCACUGACUGUGGGGGCUCGAUCAUGGAUCACUGCAACCUUGACCUCCAAGGCUCAAGCCAUCCUCCUGCCUCAACCUCUGGGGUAGCUGGGGCUACAGAGUCUUACCCUGUUGCCCAGGCUGUAGUGCAGCGGCGUGAUCUUGGUUCACUGAAACCUCCACCUCCUGGGUUCAAGUGAUUCUUGUGCCUUAGCUUCCCAAGUAGCUAGGAUGACAGGUGGAGAAAGAGAAGUUUGUCUCCCCGAAAGCCCCUGUGUGCUCAUCUUUAUCUCCCGCCUUCCCCCAUGUCUGCUGUCAAGGUGUUCUGCUGUUCUUUACUGUGGAUAUCUGUUGGCUGUUCUAUGGUGUUGCUGUUCUCACCCCGUCAGAUGCCUGGUGGCUUCUCUCUGUUUCCUCCUGCAAAGAUGUCAAUACCAUACAGAAAAACCAAACACGUCUCAUAUAGCGAGGGAGGCAUUACUGGCGUCAUCUGGUUUGAAGGCCAAACUCCUCCCCAGUGGGACAGAUUGGAGAAGUGACGAUGCGGAGUGGACAGAAGUAGAAUGGAAAAGUCAACCUGUGAAGCACCUGAUGUAUCAAAUGACUUUUUUUUUUUUUUUUUUUUUCUGGGAUGGAAUCUUGCUCUGUUGCCUAGCCUGGAAUGAUCUUGGUUCACUGCAACCUCUGCCUCCCGGGUUCAAGUGA